GGAUUAGAUACCCUGGUAGUCCAUGCCGUAAACGAUGUGUGUUAGACGUUGGAAAUUUAUUUUCAGUGUCGCAGCGAAAGCAGUAAACACACCGCCUGGGGAGUACGACCGCAAGGUUAAAACUCAAAUGAAUUGACGGGGACCCGCACAAGUAGUGGAGCAUGUGGUUUAAUUCGAAGAUACGCGCAGAACCUUACCAACACUUGACAUGUUCGUCGCGAGACUAAGAGAUUAGUUUUUUCAGUUCGGCUGGACGAAACACAGGUGCUGCAUGGCUGUCGUCAGCUCGUGCCG
Molecule: ribosomal RNA, 294 nt
Filed under: uncultured bacterium
Lineage: Bacteria
Description: partial 16S ribosomal RNA
Rfam family: Bacterial small subunit ribosomal RNA
Source: RNAcentral